This 2555-nucleotide long non-coding RNA is filed under the name Homo sapiens (human). RNAcentral describes it as "non-protein coding lnc-PABPC4-1:1". Lineage: Eukaryota; Metazoa; Chordata; Mammalia; Primates; Hominidae. The record is from RNAcentral.
AGUUAUGUUUUCAAAGAACAUUUAAUCACAGAAACUUUCAAAAUAUUUUGUACAUUGAAUAGAUCCGAUCACCAAGCAGUGCAUAGAGUAGGAUCCUAACUUUGUAAAAUAUCCAUAUGUCAUAUAUAAAGAAAGACAAAUGUAUAUGUGCCAAGUAAGAAGACUGGAAGGAAUUAUGAACAGUGGUUAUCUCUGUGAUUGAUUAUGGGUGUUUGUAUUCUGGUUUUUGUUAUUUUCAAAAUUUUCCCCAGCACACAGAUAACAUUUUCUUACGUGAGAAAAAAUUUUUUUUAAAAAGCAGGGGGUGGAGAGCGGCAACUGUUUGCUCAAGACUUUUCAGUAAGGAAAGGAACCUGGGGUAGAAAGCUCCCCCUUCAGCUGCCCAUGAGGGCACAGGUGGGAGGAUUGCUUGAGCCCAGCAGGUUGAGGCUGCAGUGAGCCAUGACACUGCCACUGCACUCCAGCCUGGGCGACAAAGCAAGACCAUGUAUGUCUUUAAAAAAAAAAAAAAAAAGGCAGCCAGGACCUGAUGCCAGGUCGACUUGGCUCCAAAACCUGCCCUCUCCUUUUCACAGCCUCCUUUCCUGUGAAAUAAUAGGGAAUUUCUCUAAAGCGCAUCGCCCGGUCCCUAUGUAAAGACAAAGAAACAGGACUUUGCACGCUCACCUGGCAUUAGGGCCAGCACUGUGCUGCAGUUGUGAAGAUGGCCACUGGGUUGGGGGUUGUUCUGCACCAAAUGGCCCCAGACUCCCUGUCAGUGGCUACUUGUUGCAGCCAGUGGGCCUGAGCUGACCACCCUUAUUUAUGCUCCUGAUGUGCAGCCUUGAAUGCAUCCUGGGCUGUGGGAGGCAACCAGGCCAGAAGAUGACCUUGAUAGCUGAGCACUGACCCUUCAUCAGCUGUGUGUCCUUACGACCUCCUCCCUUUCUGAGGCCUUCUGUAUGUGAUGUCAUUUGGUGGGUGGCUAAAGUUGCUAGAAGUCUGGCCACCAGGAAGGCCACGACUGUCACACUUUGUGCUUUGCUGCAUAAAAAGGGAGUCUCAUCAUGAUCCUCAGGCCUGCUGUGCACACCUGAUGGGCAUAGCAGCGUUUGCGUCUUGAAAACAUUCAUUUCACAAACUCCUAGCACACCCAAACCAUGCCAGGUUACACACUGGGCACUGAAGAGACCACACAUUUGUCAGUUUCCGAAACUCUACUGCCCAGUAUUGGAAGAAGAGAGCUGUUAAAUCAGGUCCUGCAAUGGCAGAUAGGCCCCAAGUCCUAUGGCAGCAGGGGGCUCAGGCCAUGUCUCAAGCUCUGGGAGAAGGUCAUGGGGGCAGAUGGGUUCUCUGGGUUGGAAGAGCCUUUGGAAUUAAAGAGUCCUAUGUCCUCAUGUUGCAGAUGAGAAACUGAAGCGUGAAUAAGAAAGGGGACUUGUCCUGACACCAAGUCAGUGGCUGAGUUGGAACCAGAAUACCUGUCUCCUAACACUCAGGCCAUUGCCUCUUCCAAUCUCUGCUAGCUGAGCUUGAAGCCUUAGACUAGUGGGGAACUCACCAUCUUCCAGACAGCCUGGGCCCACCCUUUAUGUACAUGAGAGGGUCUCUUCCUCUGCGCUUGCACAUGGAGGCCCUCCCUGGUCCAGGUGGAGGGGCUGCUGUCCCGCAGUGUGGCCCCAGCCUCCACCCCUGCUGCUGGACCAGCUCUCCCCAGGCCCCUCCCUGGGGGUGCAGCACGUGAACUCCAGAGAGGCGCAUCCUUGGGCCCAUGGGGAGGUGGAACCACUCUGCCAGGCUGUGCCUGUGGAUGGGGCGGGCCCAGGAUCUGCUUUUAAUGACACGGUUUGGGCAGCUGGACUCUGUCUGUUCCAGCAGGUAAAUUACAGGCUUAGCAAGUCAGAAAUCAAAUAAACACUCCAACUCCCAGUGGCUGUUCCAAGGAGAACAGCGGUUUCCGGGAACAGUGGAGGCCGAGACAAACCUCCCCACCCAACUCAGCCUAAUUACUGCCUGUCACUCCCUGGGACAGGGACCUUUUCUUUGACUCACAGACCCAAGACACAGGACAGCGCUGGUGGGCACCCAGGGUGACGCCAAUUUUGGUGGCCAGCUUGUUCAUAACUCCUAGACACAAGCAAACACUGGCAGUCCCCACCCUUGCCCCAUGCCUGGCCGGAGACUGCCAGUCACCCUGCUUUGGAUGGAAUGGAUUGCUCUGCAGUGGGGCAGGAGGGGGAACUGAGGUCUUAUUGACAAUGCCUGGUGGUGGCUGUCUGCAGUUCUGUGCUGAGGCCUGGAGGCCCUGUCCUGGUUCAGUGGGAAAGGUACGUAGGUUGAUUACUGACAUGAGCCAUGGGCAAGGGGAGCAGGCUGCGGGGGCAUUUGCUCUGUGCCAGCCUACACUACAUGUUGGAGCUGCUGGUCUUGCCUCUGUCUCAGUGCUGAGCCCCAAAUGGGUCAGCAUGGUAGAGAUGGUGGAGGGAACUGGAAGCCCCCAGGAUUCUUUGCUCCUGUGGGAGUCAUACCUCUUUCCCAGGCAGGAGAAGGGGCAGGCCCAGGGCAAGGGAAUACAC